AGACCUCAACAAUGUGGAACAUCUGACACUUAUGGACUUCCUUCAAAACCUAACUGAGAAGCAAUGGAGGGGGAUUCGUGAGGGCAUGUUUGACCCGCUGACAAAACAACAGCUUGCCGGCUUGUG
This is a long non-coding RNA of Oncorhynchus kisutch (coho salmon), 126 nucleotides long. RefSeq lists it as uncharacterized. The transcript is spliced from 3 exons. The record is from RefSeq and is a predicted model, not a curated record. Lineage: Eukaryota; Metazoa; Chordata; Actinopteri; Salmoniformes; Salmonidae.